UAUUUAAUGAAUGCAAUAACAAAUUAUAUUUGACAACCGUGGCCAUUGGUCGAAAUUGUGGUUUUAAGUAAUUCUGGAAAACUGCUUGAUGUGUAGAAUGCAUUUUGUAGACGUAAAGGCCAGGAGUUGACAAAACUUGACCCAAAACGGAGAAAGUUCUUUAAAAUGUGAUUGAAGAUCAGACUCUAUCUUUGUGGAUGUGGCUCCUCUUUCAAUGGCAGGCAAGGAGCGUCGCCAAGCAGUAUUAAAUAUCAAAAUCAAAGAAAUCUAAAUUAAGAUGUACCCAACAACCUGUUAAAACUGCCAAUAAUCCGAAUUGUAAUACUCAGCAGCCAUCUGCGGAAAAUAUUUUGUUAAAAAACUGUCGAAUCAGGCAAGCAAAUAACAAUAUCGUUGCCAUGCUGACAUUGUUUAUAUGCAACAGCCAACUUAUUUUUCGGAAAAACUUUAAAAUGAUUAUUGCAUUAUUAGUGACGUUUUCCUUAAUAUGCUCAUCGCAAUCGAUAUUAUUGGAUGAACAAGUCGGCAGUGCUGUGAUCUCGAAUAACACGAGCUACCGAACAAGUGGAAAAUCAAUUUCAAGCAAUAAUACGGCUGGUAGAUCUUCAGUAGCCGUAAACGGCUAUCUCGAUAAAUUGGACAAUUUGGAGCGAAGUGUUGCCGCUGUGUUGAUUAAAGUAGCUUACGGAACAACAUCAACUACAAAACGAAGUAUUCCCGACAAUAGCUACAUUUUGGGCCUCACUACUGUAGCGACGCCACUUUUAACUACACUCAGGUAGGUAGAUAGUAGAAAUAUCUGUAUC
Molecule: long non-coding RNA, 806 nt
Organism: Drosophila arizonae
Lineage: Eukaryota; Metazoa; Arthropoda; Insecta; Diptera; Drosophilidae
Source: RefSeq, a predicted model, not a curated record